Molecule: unclassified non-coding RNA, 287 nt
Filed under: uncultured fungus
Lineage: Eukaryota; Fungi
Description: partial contains small subunit ribosomal RNA, internal transcribed spacer 1, and 5.8S ribosomal RNA
Rfam family: Eukaryotic small subunit ribosomal RNA (bases 1-73)
Source: RNAcentral
GCAAACUUGGUCAUUUAGAGGAAGUAAAAGUCGUAACAAGGUUUCCGUAGGUGAACCUGCGGAAGGAUCAUUACAGAGUUUAGGGUCCCUUGCGGGCUCGAACCUCCAACCCCUUUGGUGUUUAUUACCCUGUUGCUUCGGCAGGCCUAAUGUGGUUUGCCUGCCGGAGCCUUAUUAGAUGUAACAAUCUGGUUAUGAAUUCUUGGUCUGAUCUUUCUGAAACACAUAGAAUUGUUAAAACUUUCAACAACGGAUCUCUUGGUUCCCGCAUCGAUGAAGAACGCAGC